UGGGGAAUCUUGCGCAAUGGGGGAAACCCUGACGCAGCAACGCCGCGUGGGUGAUGAAGGCCUUCGGGUCGUAAAGCCCUGUCAGGUGGGAAGAAACUUGUGGAUGUUAAUACCAUCCAUGCUUGACGGUACCACCGGAGGAAGCACCGGCUAACUCCGUGCCAGCAGCCGCGGUAAUACGGAGGGUGCAAGCGUUGUUCGGAAUUAUUGGGCGUAAAGCGCGCGUAGGUGGUCGUGUAAGUCAGAUGUGAAAGCCUUCUGCUUAACAGAAGAAGGGCAUUUGAAACUGCUCGACUAGAGUACGGGAGAGGAGAGUGGAAUUCCCGGUGUAGAGGUGAAAUUCGUAGAUAUCGGGAGGAACACCAGUGGCGAAGGCGGCUCUCUGGUCCGAUACUGACACUGAGACGCGAAAGCGUGGGGAGCAAACAGGAUUAGAUACCCUGGUAGUCCACGCCGUAAACGAUGGGCACUAGGUGUAGGAGGUAUUGACCCCUUCUGUGCCGAAGCUAACGCAUUAAGUGCCCCGCCUGGGGAGUACGGCCGCAAGGCUA
This 551-nucleotide ribosomal RNA is filed under the name uncultured bacterium. Its description in RNAcentral is "bacterial SSU rRNA". It matches the Rfam family "Bacterial small subunit ribosomal RNA", at positions 355 to 896 of the family's 1533-position model. The record is from RNAcentral.